AGGUGAAGUCACAGAAGAUUUGCUCAUCUGGACAAUCUACAAAUUCAGGGAUUGGACGACAAUCAUCAAAAAAUAAGAACGAGCAAUCUUUUGAGCCAGUCGACUCCACAACUGCCCUAAUCUUUAAAAGCCCAGAGAUGGAGACAGAAGUUGCCCCUGAAAUGCCUAAUGCAGUUAACCCAGAAUCAGCUAAGGAUGGUUCAAAUGAUCUCAAAUUCUCAGAUUUAGAGAUGGUUGAAUCUAGUUAUGGCUUGUGUUCUGAAAGAGAAGAACAUUUGAAAUCC
Long non-coding RNA from Carassius carassius (crucian carp), 284 nucleotides. RefSeq lists it as uncharacterized. The transcript has 3 exons. NCBI's taxonomy places the organism in Eukaryota, Metazoa, Chordata, Actinopteri, Cypriniformes, Cyprinidae. The record is from RefSeq and is a predicted model, not a curated record.